UACGGAGGGUGCAAGCGUUAAUCGGAAUCACUGGGCGUAAAGCGCACGUAGGCGGAUUGCUAAGUCAGGGGUGAAAUCCUGGAGCUCAACUCCAGAACUGCCUUUGAUACUGGCGACCUUGAGUCCGGGAGAGGUGAGUGGAACUGCGAGUGUAGAGGUGAAAUUCGUAGAUAUUCGCAAGAACACCAGUGGCGAAGGCGGCUCACUGGCCCGGUACUGACGCUGAGGUGCGAAAGCGUGGGGAGCAAACAGG
Molecule: ribosomal RNA, 253 nt
Filed under: uncultured bacterium
Lineage: Bacteria
Description: partial 16S ribosomal RNA
Rfam family: Bacterial small subunit ribosomal RNA
Source: RNAcentral